This 557-nucleotide ribosomal RNA is filed under the name Drawida sp. 5 PK-2012. RNAcentral's name for it is "partial 12S ribosomal RNA". Lineage: Eukaryota; Metazoa; Annelida; Clitellata; Moniligastrida; Moniligastridae. The record is from RNAcentral.
CCUUCACGAACGGAUCAUGAUAAUAGGAAUAGACCCCCCCCCCCCCCCCACACAUUAUAAGAAUAGAGUUUACCCCCCCCGCCCCCCCCCAGGACCGCUGCAUUAUCAAGAAGGCGAAAAAGAAAACAUAAUGCCGACUAUUGAUAUUAAAACAUGGAAUAGAUACCCGUCUAUUCAUGAAAUGCCCACUAGAUUGAAGACUACGAGCCAUUCGCUUAAAACUCAAAGACUUUGGCGGUGUCUUAUCAAAUUAGGGGAACCUGCCCCAUAAAUCGACAAUCCACGACUAAAUAACCUUUAUUAGAUCUUUUAAACAGUCUGUAUACUGCCGUCGUAAGUAAGCCUCUGAAAGACUUAGAGCCUACAACAAACAAUCACCGUAUCACGUCAGGUCAUAGUGCAACCAAUAUAUGGGAGGUGGUGGGUUACAACCUAUAUAACGACACGAAUCUACAUAAUUAAGCCGUAGUGAAGGAGGACUUAAUUGUAAUUUAAUAACUAAAUUUAAAUGAGCUUGAAUCUAAGACAUGCACACAUCGCCCUCAUCUCCUAAACGC